UAAAUUUUAUAAGUUUUACUAUUUGGUAAAAACAUCUAAUUUAUGGAGAAUAAAAAUAAUCAAAAUACGCCUGCGCCUAUCACUUUCCAAAAGACAAACUUGACAAACAGUUUGUUGUCAAAAAUUUGAAUUUUUGAGGUUAUAUUGAUGCGAAUUAAAUUUACAUUGCAAAUAAAUACAGAUAAAGAAACAAAUAUAAGAAAAUAUAAACAAUUAGAAAACAAUUUGUGUUAUGUUAAUUGGUUUUUAGUAUACUAUAUUUUGAAAUGGAUGCUUUAUUUUGAAUUUACACCUAAUACUAUUUGGAAAAAACAAUAAUGGAUCAACAGAGUACUUCAAAACCGCCUUUUUCAAAAGGCGUCCAAGUUGCAAGUUUGGUUGUGGAGUCCAAGCCGUAUCCCCUAUUUAAAGGAGUUAAUACUAUUGGCAGAAACAGGACAGCUGUUGUUAAUAUUAAACAUUUGACUGUAAGCCAGCAUCAAGCUGUUAUCGUGGCCAUAGAUGAAACACAGAUGUACAUCAGUGACAUGAAUUCUUCUAAUAGUACAUUUAUUCACAACUCGAAAAUGAUUCCUCUACAGUUAUAUAAGUUAGCCAACAAUGAUGACAUUAAAUUUGGUGAACUUAAUGCCAUUUUUUCAAAUAUUGUAGUCACAGACCCAACCCAAAAUGAUGCUGCUGAGGCCAGUCAACUUUCACAGACACAAAAUUUUUAUUCUUCAGAUACACAAGUCCUAGUCAACCCUACGGACAUUACUAGUACCGGUGUAAAUAAUGACCAAACAGUUAGCGAUAUUAACAUUCACGAAAUGGCAACCCAAGUUGUAGAAUUUCAUCCGCCACCCGUUCCAAAACCUAAGAAAUUUCAUUUUAAAAAAGUAGUUCAGACUCAAGUUAAAGAUCAAGAAAAUCACGUGGUUCAAAUUCCAGGUAACGAGGUGGCUAAAAAUGAACCAGUUCAAAAUGUAAUUAUAGAAACUGUAUAUGGCAUUCAUGAUCUUCCAACGCAAGUACUCAACAUUCAUGAUCUUCCAACGCAAGUACAGAGUUUUGUUCCGACAUGCAGUAAAGAGGAAGACAAUAUCCAUGAAAUGGCCACUCAAGUUUUUAAUCAUUCCAUACAACCUGACGAAAAUCCAAUAGAAAAACUACUUCCUGAUAAUGAGAAGAAUGAGGAAACUGAUAGCACAUCAGAUUCCAAUACACAAAUAAUGACUCAGGAAGAGAUGGAGGCUAUUUCUAAGAAAUUGAACGAUACAACUGUUCCUGUGUCACUUGUAACACCAACUGAUACUCAAGAGUUACUAAACAGUAUUCAGGAAAGUAUUCGAGAACAUAAAAUUUUAAAGGAUCGAGAAGAUAAAAUUUUUGAUAAAUUGAACACUAAAUUUGCAAGUAAAACCAUUCAUGACAGUCAAGAGCCUUCAACGUCAGGUGUGCAAAACAAUUGUAACGAAUAUGAUGAUUCUUUUGCUAGUUCAAUAGAUAGUACUAAAGCAGAAGACUUCGCUAUAGAAGAAACAUUUUUAGAUAGUUUUCAAAAUAAUGAUUCAAUGGACUUUUUAAUUGCAGAAGCUGAAAACCUUGAAUCACAGCCUACAUCACAAUUAUUAAAAAGUAAAAAUAGUCAAAAUGAACUGGACGAAAACAUAUCUGCUCAUAAGUCACCAGAAAGAGAUCCAGAAAUUAAUUGUAAAGCUACAGAUAAAGCUCUAGAGCAAGGUGGACAAGGAAAAGAUGAUAGUUCAGACUCAGAUACUGACUGUGAAGAUGCGCUUUUAGAAGACUUGUCACUAAGGUUAAGUGCGAAUAAUAGUCAUGAGGCAACAUCAACAGAUCCACAGAUGAAAUCUACGGAUCCACAGAUUAAAUCUACAGAUCCACAGAUCAAAUCUAAUAAAGAUUUUGAUGAUUUGGAUGAUUCUGACUGUAUACCAGCCACUCAAGAUUUCUUCGCGAAAGAAUUAGACUACAAACCGUUGAAAUCCUCACAGACGAGCAAUGUACAAUCUUCUGAAGAGAGUUUUAAGUUGGGAUUAACGGAGCUUAUGGAGUUUCCAGAAUUAGAUGAUCUUGACAAUGCAAAGAAGCCCAAAUCCCAAGAAAAAAGAAGUAGUUUGGACAAACAGGGAGUAGAGGAUUGUAAAAAUAUAGAUAGUGCACAAAAAUCAGAUACAACUACAAUAAAUGAUGCGGAUCCAAAGAUAUUGGACACUUUAGAUGCCUGUUUUGAGGCCACGCAAGAAAACGAUGACGUUUUUCUUGCAUCCACUCAACUGGUGCCAUUAAACGAACCUAGUGAAAGAAAACAGCCUACAAAAGAAGAUGUAUAUUCCCUGCCAACCCAAAAACUAAACGAUGAUGUUUAUUUAGAACCAACCCAACAGAUCGAUGAUGUUUUUCGUCAACCUACUCAACCGGUGUCGCCAAAGAAGGUUGUUGAUAGAAAAAAGCCUGCUGAAGAAGAUAUAUAUUGCCAAGCAACGCAAAAAUUGGAUGACGAUGUGUAUAUAGAACCAACUCAACAGAUUGAUGAUGUUUUCCUUCAACCCACUCAACCAGUGGCAUCAGGUAAGGUUAAAGAUAAAAAAGAGCCUACUAAAGAAGCAACGCAAAAAGUGGACGAGGAUGUUUACUUAGAACCCACUCAACAAAUUGAUGAUACAUUCCUUCAGCCCACGCAAUUACUCGAACCUACUGAUAGAAAAAAACCAACGAAAGAUUUGUAUUCCCAACCUACUCAAAAACUAGAUGAAGAUGGGUUUGUUCAACCUUUUAAUAUUAGAAAACAGCCAGUGUCAAAAAAUGUUACCACAGAUAGUGAAGAUGUGUUUCUUAUACCCACACAACCUCUGGACGUUGAGGAUAAACCUGAAAAAUCGAAAUCCUUUACAGGAGAUGAGAGUUUUAAGUCAAAAGGAAAUACUUCGCUAAAACUGGAUGAAGAUCCGUACAUACAAGCAACUCAACCUAUUGAAGAGCUAGCAACACCCAAUAAAUCCAGACCGAAAAUUGGAGAUACGCAUAUGAGUCAAAAUGAUAUCACGGAAUCGCAAUUAGAAAUGGAAAAUUAUGGUACCUUCGAACCAAAUAGUUCGAUUCGAAGGGAUAGACCUGGAAAUCCGAUUUUAUGCGAACUGGACAACAAAAAUUCCGAUAAUAAAGACGAUUCCGACGAUGAUAAUACUUGUAUCGAAUCGAUGAGUCAAAUAGAAGCUUAUAUAGGUGGUUCGCGGGUCGUACCUCCAGAUAACAUAAAAAAAGAAACGAUUUCACCCAAAGUUAAAGGUAAUACGUCCCUAAAUAUUAGUAUCGAGACUUUGAGCCAAAUAGAAGCGUUUAUUAAGAAACCUUUGCCACCGAGGAUGUCCGAUAGAGGUUAUCAAACGAAAAAGAAAACGGAAAAAGAGAAUGAAGAUGGACCUGAAACUCUGAGCCAGAUUACGUCGUUUAUUGCCAAGCCACAAGGCAUAAAGAUAAAAGAAGAGAAAAGACUGAGUCAUAUGAAUUCAUCAAACAAUAUUACCAAAAGUCGGAUCACCGGCGUUCAUAAUGAAUUAUCAUUUAAUUCAACACUGAACGAAAGAAAUCUGUUAAGUGAUGUAGACCAGAGUUUUGCAUUGCUAGAGUCUAAAAGCUCUAGGGUUAAAAGGAAACCGACCUUGGGUCCAGUUUAUGAAGAUGUCAAAGUAAAUGUUACAUUGCAUCGAAGAAGCAUGCAAGUUGAAGAGAAUAAUGAUGAUACGUUCAUUGUGCCAACUAAGAAGCAACGAACGGGCAACGACCGUAACACAUUACGUAUCUCAGAAAUCGAAUUACCAACAAAAAAGUCGCAAUCUAAAAGGUCAAAAGUACCUUCACCAAUUCCAGAAACCAAAUCGGAUACGAAGUCAUCGAAUAAAGAAACGAAAACAAAGACCAGCAGUACAAAAACUUCCUCAAAAUCCUCAAAAGAUAACGAUUAUUUACCUAAAGAUAAUAAAGUACAAAAAGAUGCCGAAGAAGUUAAAAACAGUCCGGAAAAAAUAAGAAGAACUACUAGAACCACUGCCGGCAAGACCACGAAGAAGUCGAGUAUAGCAAGUGGAUAUAGUAAAUCAUCCAAAAGUAAGGAGUCCACCGAAAAUAAACCUUCAACUUCAGAAGACAUUAAAUCUGCAGAAAAACGAGCACCGAAAGCUAGAGGAAGGACAAAAAAUAAAGAAACAGAACCAACAGCUCCAAAGAGCAAAAGGCAAAAGUGAAUUAAGUUAUUUAUGCAUUAUAUUAUUUAUAUGUAAUUAAUACAGAUACUUAUAUUUUUAAUAAAAAUGGGAAAAAACGUACUUGGAGGGAUUUCGAAUAUUGGCGAAUAUGCCUGAAGUUAUCAUGAGUUGAAUUGAUAAUGAUGAAUAAAUACCAUGUCAUUUUUGUGUAUAUAUAGAUAUAGGUAUUCUUUUUCUCAUGAGCAUCUUUCAGUGCGUCACAGUUUUUCGAUUUCUUUCUAACACAUGUAUAACAUUUAUUCUAGUUGUCGGUAGAUGGCGCUAUAAUCGAAAAAAAGUUAUUUACGAAUUAUAUAAUAUAUCUACGAAUAUAAUCUGUACAAUUUAUAAGACUAUACAAAUCAAAGAAAGUAUCAUUUUAUAAAUGCAAUAAACACACUUGAUUUGUUUUAUGCCAAAUUGCAAAUAAAAUGUGACAACUGUCAGAUUUAACUAAAAUGUCAUGUUAGAAUAAAUGUUAUAAAUGUGUAUUAUCACGGACUUACCUUUUUUCUAUCAUUUGUGACGCACUGAAAAAUGCUCAUGAAAAGAACAAUAUUGGGAGUUAAUAUUUUAUUAAAAUGUAUCGCAUUCUUUAAUUUUAAACGAGCUCUGUAGAGAGCAUAAUUUUGUUGACCAAAAUGAUGUUAAAUGAAUAAAUGUAUGUUCUUCCU
RNAcentral lists this unclassified non-coding RNA (4918 nucleotides) under Diabrotica virgifera virgifera (western corn rootworm). RNAcentral's name for it is "uncharacterized LOC114325364". Lineage: Eukaryota; Metazoa; Arthropoda; Insecta; Coleoptera; Chrysomelidae. The record is from RNAcentral.